Molecule: ribosomal RNA, 449 nt
Filed under: uncultured bacterium
Lineage: Bacteria
Description: bacterial SSU rRNA
Rfam family: Bacterial small subunit ribosomal RNA
Source: RNAcentral
GUGGGGAAUCUUGCGCAAUGGGCGAAAGCCUGACGCAGCGACGCCGCGUGAGCGAUGAAGGCCUUCGGGUUGUAAAGCUCUGUGGAGGGGGACGAAUAAGGGCACGCUAAUACCGUGUUUGAUGACGGUACCCCUUUAGCAAGCACCGGCUAACUCUGUGCCAGCAGCCGCGGUAAGACAGAGGGUGCAAACGUUGUUCGGAAUUACUGGGCGUAAAGCGCGUGUAGGCUGUUCGGAAAGUCGGAUGUGAAAGCCCCGGGCUCAACCCGGGAAGUGCAUUCGAAACUUCCGAGCUGGAGUCCUGGAGAGGAAGGCGGAAUUCUCGGUGUAGAGGUGAAAUUCGUAGAUAUCGAGAGGAACACCGGUGGCGAAGGCGGCCUUCUGGACAGUGACUGACGCUGAGACGCGAAAGCGUGGGGAGCAAACAGGAUUAGAAACCCCUGUAGUCC